CCCAACCUCCAACCCUGUGUUUACACAUACCAUGUUGCUUUGGCAGGCCCGUBUUCGGACCGCCGGGGGCUCGCUUGAACCCCUGGCCAGSGCCCGCCAACAGCCCAACUAAAUGCUGGUGAAAAUCGUGAUCUUCUCAGUUUGAUACAAAUGUCAAAASUUUCAACAACGGAUCUCUUGGUUCUGGCAUCGAUGAAGAACGCAGSGAAAUGCGAUAAGUAAUGCGAAUUGCAGAAUUUAGUGAGUCAUCGAAUUUUUGAACGCACAUUGCGCCCUUUGGCAUUCCGAAGGGCAUGCCUGUUCSAGCGUCAUUGUCAACCCUCAAGCCUGGCUUGCUGUUGAGCCCUAGCCUGUCACACUGGCUGGCUCGAAAGACAGUGGCAGAGUCGGUUCGGACCCUGGAUGCAACGAGCUUUCGAGCVCGCAUUGAAGUGGCCGAGUGACCCUCGCC
Molecule: ribosomal RNA, 451 nt
Filed under: uncultured Chaetothyriales
Lineage: Eukaryota; Fungi; Ascomycota; Eurotiomycetes; Chaetothyriales
Description: eukaryotic LSU rRNA
Rfam family: 5.8S ribosomal RNA (bases 158-311)
Source: RNAcentral